RNAcentral lists this unclassified non-coding RNA (2180 nucleotides) under Leguminivora glycinivorella. Its description in RNAcentral is "synaptic vesicle glycoprotein 2A-like, transcript variant X1". The record is from RNAcentral. Lineage: Eukaryota; Metazoa; Arthropoda; Insecta; Lepidoptera; Tortricidae.
GGAAGAUUUGUCUAUUGGACUUAUAUUUAUUCAUGAAGUAUCUAGGCAUGUUGAAGACGAGAUAAUUUAUGAUAGACACAUAGGCACCUAAUUAUCCGUGUAUACUAUCAACAUGUAGAUAAAUUAUCCAAUUUUAAAUAUUUGCACUAACUACUCGUAUGUGAUACCUACUUAAUAAUGGCGUGAGCGUUGAAAUGAUAAGUUGUGUAUUAAUUCAGUUUUAAAUUAUAUAAAGUAAUUAAAAUGUCACAAAAUACAAGCAAUAACAUGUCUAACUUAGCUUGUGUAAAUAAUAAAACUGAAGUUAGUAUGGAAAAAGAAGAAUAUGUUGUUUUUGAAGACGCUUUAGUUCUAACGGGUUUCGGCAAAUACAACUACAGAGUGUUGAUCCUUAGUGUGUACUCUCUGAUCGCAGCCAUUGCAGAAGUAUUCAGCGGAGGCAUCAUCGUAGCAGCCAGUCAGUGUGACCUUGCCCUUGGCGUUUUCGAGAAGGGCAUCAUUGGAUCUGUCCCUGUCUUGGGAGUAAUCAUAAGUGCCCACUUCUGGGGCUACCUCGCCGACACGCGUGGGCGUCUGUAUACGCUUCACAUCACAAUUCUUGGCACGGCUGCCUUCGCCUUCUUAUGCAGUUUUGCUAAUCACUGGAUAUUUCUGACCAUUACCAAGUUUAUAUCGGCUAUAUUUGGGUGUGGAACAUAUGCCGUAAUUUACACACUUCUUGGGGAGAGCACCUUACAGACACACCGGGCACGGUUCCUCUUGUACGCUACCACAGGGAUCAUGGUGGCCCAAGCUGUCAUAUGCGGGAUAGCAUACCCAACCCUGCUACUUCGCUUUUCCUACUACGUACCAUACUUGAAUAUUUUCUUCCGGCCAUGGAGACUGUUCAACCAAAUCAUCGCCUUCCUCAGUCUUCUCAAUUACAUUCUUUUCAAGUGUUAUAUUCUGGAAAGUCCCAAGUUUUAUUUUUCAAAAGGUGAACAUGACAAAGGUUUGGAAGUACUGAAAAAAAUAUUCGCUGUAAACAAUGGACGAAAUAUGGAUGAAUUUAAUGUAAAACGAAUAGUCCUGAAUGAAGAUGAGAACAAAACGAAGAGUUCUAAUUUCUUUCAAUCGGUAUGGAACCAAACUAUUCCAUUAUUUCAUAGAAAGUACAUCAAGAAAACUGUACUCAUUUUUGCUGUUAGUGUCCCAUGUUACUGCAUAGGACCUCCGUUCUCCGUGUGGAUGCCGCUAGUGUUCAACACUUAUAAAACCUUGGGAACGUCUGACAUGAGAUUCUGUGAUAUUUUUCAAGUUCAAGAUGUACAAACUAACCCAGAAAACAAUACAUUUACUGACAUGAGUCCAGUGUGUGACGACACCAUUGUCCCUUUCACAUUCAUCGCUAUCUCCAGUUACGCUCUCAUCAUGACGGCCAUCUCCAUCAUCGCAGUUAUCAUCGUCAAGUACUUCGGCAAGAAGUUCAUGUAUAUCGGGAUCCACUUACUAGGGUCCACCCUGGCCUUUAUAAUAAACGUGGGCGAUGGCUGUCGGCUUAUCAAUGAUGUUCGCUAGAGCUGUUUCGUUCAUAUUUUUCAACAUUAUUGGAGUGCAACUAUUGAACAAUUGUACCAAUUUCCUCAUUUUUCUAGGCGUAUUUCUACUCGCCGGGGCAGCUCUGGGACUGUUCCUACCCUCAGACAGAAAACCAGCUGCAAAAGAACCUGAUAGUGAUUUGUAAAGGCGACCCUGAUGCAAUUUAACCGCCGCUAUGCCACUUUCUGGCAACGAUUUUGAUAGCCUCUGAAUGGGUUAAGUCAUAAUUACAUCGAAAUUUGACGUUUUUAAUAACAUUUGAACCAGUAAAUCUGUUAAAAUCUUUGCUAACUUAGGUCUAACUCUAGAAGUCCACGUGUCGAAGUCUAGUCCAACAUCCCACUUUGUCGCUUGUCAUAAAAGGACGAGGAGGUAAGCGGCUAUCUUUACACGAAUAACUGGUCAAAGCGGGGCCUUAUGGCAAGCAACAGUGGGACUUUCUGCUGGGAAGUCAUCAAGUCACACAUUUGCAAGUGCAUAUUAUCUAUUAGAUAUUUUGGAGAAUGUUUAUGUGGCUAAUUUUAGUGUCAUGCGUCCGCGCGGAGCGAUCCGCCAACUGUGCACAUUAUACCUUUGUAAUAAAAAUAAAUGAGAGCAAAUGA